This 9188-nucleotide long non-coding RNA is filed under the name Marmota monax (woodchuck). The record is from RNAcentral. Lineage: Eukaryota; Metazoa; Chordata; Mammalia; Rodentia; Sciuridae.
CGUGACCCAGGCAGUGUUUUGACAGGGCAAACAGCAGAGAAAGAACUGGGCGAGCAAGGGGGAUCCAGAGCUGGGGCGCCAGAGCUAGCGACAGCGGGCGGGCGAGGAGCUGGCAGAGGCGCGGGGCAAGCGGGCCGGCCGGGGCGACAAGCGGGCGAACCCCGGGGCCGCGGGGCUUGGGUGCGAGUCGGGCAGGGCGAGGGGCUGAGGGCAGGGAGCGGAGCGAGGCGUCGGCUGAGGCGGGGGUGGAUGGCCACAGGGGCGCCGGGGAGCCGAGUCGGGCUUGCGGUCUCGGACCCCCAUGGUCCCCUAACGCAGCCCCGGGGGCCGCUGCGCGCCACACUCGGUUCUCGCCGGCCCUGCGCCUUUUGGAGCCUCGGGUCUGAGGUGGGAGUGUGAUGUGAGCUGCUGGACUAGCGGCGGAGAGAAGUGCCAAAAGGAGGAGGUAUUGGGACGGGAGAAGAGAGCGAGUUAGUCAGCAGAGGUCUGCCGAGGGAGUCGAGGAGCGGGCCAGCCCGAGAGCGCCAUGAAAACUACUCUCCAGCAGGGAGAGGGGCAGGCGCGGCGCUCGGUGCCGCGGGGCUGAAGGAAAUCCGGGGCCGCGGCGGGACGGAAGGGGCCCGCGGCGAGCAGGCUGCACAGAGCAGUGGGUGAGCGAGCGCUCAGCUGUAAACACCUUCCUUGGGGGCAGACCUCAGGCUGGGCCACGUAGGGACGGGGUUUGUAGAGGGCGACCCGGGACAGUCCGGGAGAGUUCGUUUGAGCUGGGGGCUGGGCGCCAGAAGAUGACUCGAAUUUCUUUCAGACCCUCUUAUUGUGUAAACUUGGCCGCUGUUGCCUCAGGAAGGCUAGCCAGAGGGUAAUUACACAGGUGAGGCCGGGCGGGGCGGGCGGAGCUCUUGGGAAACGCAAGGGUCCGGAAGAGUUUCCAGCCCCCUGGCACCAGGUGGAAGAAUUUAUAGACCAGCAUUGAGGAGGUACCACUGUUCCCAGAAGCAUUUUUUUUUUGGUUUGCUUUUGUUUCCCCCUCAAAGGGGUUGGUUAGUUUGUGUUGCUUGAAUCUUUUUCUUCUUGCUUGUACCUCCGGGAUAUAAAUAGACCUUGCUUUGGUUCGGAGACGCUGUGUCAGAAAAGGACACCUUGGCCUGGAGAGUUGAGGGGCGGGGAGAGGGGUGCUCCUUGGGGAGGAGAUGGGGGAGACCAUGCAAAGAGUUUUGCAUUUUUCACAUCUGCCGAUGGUGCUGUCAACAGUAGUUUGUACCACAAUAGGCCUAACUUAACAGUAUUCUUGUACAGUCCUGAUGUUAGAGCAGGACCAGUUUAAUUUUAUUUUGAUCUCUUUUAGCAUUUUGAAAACUAAGUAGAAGCCCUCGAAUCAACAGUGAGCGCUUUGAAAGAACCCCCAAGUGUAUUUCACAGCACUCUGGGUGGAAAUUGGAUGUGAAAAUGAAGCCAGACCGAGGUAAAUGAUUUAUUUAAGUGGACCUGUUUUUUGUUUUGUUUUCUGUGUCUCCUUUUAGACGUGUUAACCUAAUUCUGCAGCAGAAUCAACUAUUUCUGUAUCAUAUUUAAUUAUCUGUUUCUGUGACAGAUUCCAGCUGGUGAGGAAAAGGAGGACAUAUGGAAGAGAGGGUUAGGAGGGGAGGACAGUUCUUCAAAAGUGCUUGUAGAGCAGUAGUUUCAAUAGAAAAUUUAGUGUAUGUUAAAAGGAAUUAAUCAAAAAUAGCAUUUAUAUCUGUUGCCACAAUUAUUGGUAUCAUUUAAAAGUGAUACUUUUAGGUAAAGUGAAUCCAACUUCAACUUUAAUGAUAUUUACAAGAUUUUUAAACAAGCCUUUUAAGCUCUUGCGAAUUUGAACUUGAUAGCGAACAUUUAAGAUUGUUGACAACUAUUAUUACGCUUUCAUUAGCUGAUUUUUUUGCUUUAAGCAGACUCCAAAAGAUUGCAAAGUACUCAAGCAUUCUAUAUAUCAUAUGGACAAUUAAGGCUACCAAAAUUCCUGGUGAUAGGUACAUGCUACUUCCUUUCUAAACCUGUAUUUUCAGGGCUUAAAAGAAUAAUAUUUACACUGUGCUUUUCAAGGACUUCAAAGGGAUUAUCAGUCUUCUGAUUAAUGGCAAGGACCAGAUUUAGAAGUUUUUAAUGUAGUUCUAGGGCUUUUAGUCAGCUAUGGGUUUGAUUCGAAGGAACACUGUAAAGAGGGGAUUAUCAUAUUUGAUAGUUAGACUAGGUCACAGGGUUCCUUCCAACUCUGAGACUUUAGGAUUCAAAAUAGUAUUUUAUCCUAUGAAUUAGAUGAUUACUUUAAAAAGAUAUAUAUUAACUGGCUAUUUUUCUGUUUAUAAGUAAUUAGACAAAUUGUCUAAAACAUUUCUUUGGUCAUAAUAUCUAUUAAAAUGCAUUAGAAGCAGACAAAGACAUAUUUAGUGGCUUAAAUUAAUUUUGUUUAGAAUCAGGCAAUAGCUAGGUAUGUAUGAAGUAUUAGUAAGUAUGCUAUUAUUGAGCAGGUUGCUUGCUUACAAUGUGAAGUUUAGAUUUUUAGAUUACAUUAGUGACUUUGGAAAAAUGGCACCAAGGUCAGUAAUUGCAUCUCAGAAUAAACAAGCAAAUAAAAUCAAAGUCACUGUUUGUUUUGGAUUGUUGUUAAAAGUUGCUUUAAAGUCAUAGCAGUUUUAAAAAUAGCAUCACAUAUUUUAGGCUAAACUAGUGCUAAACCAAAUAAAAUACUUAAUUAUACACCUGAAUAGAUAAGGAGGGAAAAUAAAUUCAUUCAUAAAGAUUUCCAAAGAGCUCAAUUUAGUGUAUGCAUGUAAUCCCAAUUACUUGGGAGGUUGAGGCUCCAAGAGGAUCUCAAGUUCAAGGCCAAUCUUGGUGAGCAAUUUAGUGAGACCUUGUCUCAAAAUAAAAUAAAUGAUUGGGGAUAUAGUGCAGUAGUAAAGUAUUUUGCCUAGCAUGUGUAACAUCCUGGAUUCAGUCGCCAGUACCACACAUACAAAGUAAUAAUAAUAAUUUUAAAAAUUCCAAAGAAAGCGACACCCCCCCCCUUAAAAUUUUGUCUUACUUUAGUAUUCUCAGGAAAAUGAUGGGAUUACAAAUUUAGUAUUGAUUAUAUUCCAUAAUAAUAAAUGAAGUUUUUUAAGCUUACAGAUUUUUGGACCAGGACCCAGAGUAAUUAAUAUCUUUUACUUAGCAAAUUAGUACAAAAAUACUGAAAUGUUUUUCAUAAAUGUAUUACCCUUACUAUGUGCAAUAUGAUCUUCUAUUUUCUGUUCUUUUUCACUUUUUAAAUUGCUGGCUGUCACAACCUAUUGAUUUUGAAAGGCAUAGUUGUAGGCUUUAGCUAAAAAUACUAAUACAUUGGUUUCCAAGGAACUAUUUCAUGAGUGAAAUUUCUAGAUAACUUAAAUAUCACUCCUAAUGCCAGAAAUAUUUUCCUUUGUAAUCAUGAUAUAUUGAGAGAUACCUAAAAUAUUAAUGGUCCUCUGCCCUUUUCUUAUAGAAAGAAAAAGAAUUUGCAGAGUCAAUGUAAUUUAACUUUUAGUUCAUGAUAAAAGGACACUGCUGUGAGUUUCAACUUUUUGCUGGAUCAUAAUCUAGAGAUGCCUGAAAAAGAUAUUUAAAUUUAUGAGAUUUUUUUUCUAGCUUGAACUAGUCCAGUUUAUCUAGCUUAAACUACCAGAUUAUUGCUUGCAUCCAUCCAUCUAUCUAUCUAUCUAUCUAUCUAUCUAUCUAUCUAUCUAUUUAUCUAUACUUACACAUACAUAUUUAGAUUUGUGUGAUUUUUAUAUUCUCUUGGUAUCAACAGUUUUUGUUCCUAUAAUGCUUAUUCUUGCCUCCUUUAAUUUCCUGCUUUUAAUCUGUGGACUAAAGAACUAGAUAACCAUACUUAAUAUUAAGUUUUUUGUAAAAUAAGUAAAUAAUAGAACCUCUCAAGUAUUCAUUCAGAAUGUAAGUAUAGAUUUUAAUAUAGAUGCUCAGAUAUUUGCUUAGUUGAAUACAGCUGUGCUUCAGGGAGUUCAAAUUUCUAAGUGUAAUUGGAGCCUCUUAUCUUAUGAUUGGGUGUGACAGUUGGCUAAUAGAAACAAUUUAAGUGGGGAAUCAUGGAAAAAUAUAGCAACCUUAACUUUUUCACCUGUCUUUUCAUGUGAGCUUUUCUUCUGCUUCCCUCUCCCCCAAUGUUGGGGAUUGAGCCAGGGCUUCUCACAUGCUGGACAAGAGCUCAUGCCUAGCCCUCAAGGCUCUUUUUGAAAAUGAGAUAGGGUCUGAGUUUUUUUAGAAUUGGACAUGAUCUUUCUUGUAUAAAGCAUAGCAACAAUGUACACCUAAAGUUUCUAGUUUUGUUUUCAUUAAGGUGUAAUAAGACUUUUCCAAAGCAAGGGGUGAAAUCUUAUAUUUUUUAAUAAUUUCAAAGUUUUAAGAUUUUUUACACACAAUUUUAUCAGCACAUUAUAAUUCAACAGGAAUUUGUUUUUGGAAAGUAGGAAUUUAUGUUCAUCAUAAAUAUUGAGGCUAGGGAUGUAGCUCUGUGUUACAGUGCAGUCUUAAAGUGUGCAAGGCUAUGGAUUUGUUUCUCAGCAAAACCCGCCCCCCAACCCCGCAAAUUGUGUUUAUCAAAAUGUACUUUUCCCAAAGCAUUAAAUUUAGUUGUCACAGAAAUAAUUUUUUUGCCCUUGUUUCCUUGGUUUAUUAUAAUAGUUAUUAUUAAUUAUAAGUAGAAUGUCAUAAACAGAUUUAUAAGGAAGAAAAGACCAGCUUCUUAUUAAACAUGUAACUCAACUAGUGGAAACAGAAGUGUGCAGGCAAGUAGAAAGUACCCUUUAGCCACUGGUGUUCAGUAUCAGCAAUGUCUGUCAGUUUGUUUUUAUGAUGGAUGUGCCCUGGUCAAUUCUGCCAGUUAAUUAAGUGAAGGUUAGUUAGGAGAUUUUCUAUUCUACUUUUAGAUAAGAUGUUAGUGUAUGGAACAAUGGCUACAUUUCACAGUAGUCAAUAUAGUCAAAUAUUGUCAACAUAUUUUAAGGUUAGAAAUAUUUUUAAAAAUUUUAGGCAGUUAUAUAACAUUACUUGGGUAAUGCUGCCAACUGUGAGUCUCUGAUGUUAUCAUUAGCACAGGCUUUGGAAUCAGACCUGUGUUUAUAUACUUUCCAUUACUUGCUUGCUAUGUAAUCUUUAUCACAUUAAUCUUUAUCUCAGUGUCCUUGUCUAUAAAAUGGAAAUGAUUACAAACUCCAAGUUAUUAGAAUAAAAUAUGACAGUAGUUGACAUUAAAAAGUAUUAGAUUAAUACCUUUUGUAUGGCUAAUUAAAACAUUACAGAUGCUUGUAUGUUAGUUGCAAGAUAUACUCAACAGAGAUAAGAAAAUAAUCUAAUGUAAUAACCUAACACUAUUUUAUCUUGUUUUACAUUCAUUGUAUUCAGUCUGCCAAGGUCAAGCAGAUUUAGUAGACAUUUAAUAUACAGUUGUCUGAAAAAAUAUAAAACCUUAAGGAUACUUGAAUGUAUGUAUAAUCUAUUAUUUAUAUUGUCAUUUGCUUUUAUAAUUAUAGCUUAAUUCUGUAUGUAGGGGUGAUAUGUAUGAUUGAAAUACAUUUUCUGGCAAUAAUUAGAUUUUUAAAUGGUGUUAACUGCUGACUAGGGCCGGGUAACUAGAGAAAGAAAUCAAACAAUGUUAUUCUACCUUGGACUCAAGGAUGUACAAGUUGGGACCUGUCCUAGAUAUAUUAAUACUGAAGGCCCAGUGUUUCAAGAAAAGUCUAAAAUGUUAUUUGUGUACAAAUAAUUAAAAUAGUUCAUAUUAUGUUAUAAAUAUAUGGAAUUUCUAAUCUUAUCUUUAAAUGCUCCCUGAGCUUAUCAAAACUUAUGAAAGAUUAAGAACCAAAAUUUUUAAUUAUCCAGAAGUUAAUAAUUUAAAUAUACUAUAUCAAUUCAUAUUUAAACACCCAGUCAUGAUGACUAAAUAAAACCUGUUAGUGCAAAACCUGUUCCACAAUCAAAAUGCCAAACAAUUUACUUUCUUUUUCUUUUCUUUUUCAUUUGCAUGUGUGUGUGUGGUUAAAACUGAGAGGAGUUCUCUCUUAGUUUUUUCCCUCUUUUUAUUAUAUUACAAAUUUUGGUAUUAGGCUUAGUAUUACUGUGGCUUCUGAAUGUAUUUAUGGCAUAAUAUAAUCCUGUUAACUUCAAAUGAUUCUUUCCUAGGUAUGUGAAAUAGGAGGAAGAUAAAAGGACUAGAAGAAAAUGGCAAGGGAAUUAGGUGCAUUGCUUACUUCUUGAGAGUAGUUCAUUGUUAGUUUAUGUAAAUCAAGCAACAGAAAUGAUAGAUGUUGGAGGAAAAGAAAAAAAAUGUUGACUAGAUUUAAAAAGACUGAUCUUUUGCUAAAUUCCUAGGUAGAGGUAGUAGUGAUAGUAUUGGUAAUAACAGCUAAUACUUAGGCAUACCAUGUACCAGACAUGAUUCCAAAUGAUUUGUAUAUGUAAUUCUUUUAAUCCUCAACAAUUACUCAAGAAGUAGAUGCUGUUGUCAUCUUCGUUUUAUAGCUAAAUGAAACUGAGUCACUGGGAGAAGUUUGGUUUCUUUUCCAAAUUUACACAAAUAAUAAAAGGGCAAGCCCAAAUUUGAAGUGAGCUUUGAGUAUCUUAAUCUUCUGAUUGGUAGCAGUAAAUUGUCUUAAAGUAUUGUAUGAUAGUGUGACCAAAGUGGUUUAAAAAUAGGCUUGAGGAAUACUUAGCUCAGAUAUUUGAUGAGUAUUGUGAUCUUAGAAAGCUACUUAUCUUCUCUUUGUUUUGGCCUUUUCAUUUUUACAAUGGAGGAAGUAAUGGUACCUUGGAUUAGUGUUAUUUUGAGAAUUAAGUUAAUAUCUAUAAUAUACUUUGAACAGUGGCUGACAGGAAGAAUGCAAAUGUGAGCUGUUAUUAUUUUUGGACAUUUUCUUAAGAAGAAGCCAAUCAUUUAGUGAAAGCUGAGGACGACAAAACUAAGGGACUAAUUUAGCUGCACAUUUUGUAUAGUCAUUGUAAUCUCAAUUUAAAAGCUGGCUACUGUUUGUUGGCCUGCCAUCCAUUUAUAUUGAUGAGUCUUGACACAUUGGUAGUUGUUAAAUAAUUACUGGCUGAAUACAACUUGAGAUUCAGAUAGUAAAGGGGUUCAAAUAGAGGUACCCUAUCUAUGUCUUCGCCUAUCAUCCAGUAAGAAGAAAAUGAUUUAGUGAACUGAAUAAUGUCAUUUCUUUGAAGGAUGAGAAAAAAGAUAAUUGGAAUGUAGAAUUGAGACCCUGUGUAUAUAAGAAGAGUGACUUAAAAUUCAAUUAUCUUCAGAAUGUGAAGAAACCCAUGGUGUCUGAGCAUUUUGCAUUGUGAACAAGUAAUGGAAAAAGAUUUAGUUGUUGAAUAAAGAACAUUUAUGUUUAUUCUUUUGCCCUUCUCAUCUUUGUAUCUAAUCCUUCCUUCUGAGGCUAAGGAUUUUUAAAAUUUGGAAUAACUUAAUACUGACUUUUUUUGUAAUGAAAAGGAAAAAAUUAUUAGACCUGGAAACAGUACUUCUUUCUUAGAAGGUAAAGCAAAUUUGUAAGUAGUUAAUUCUGUCUUUGCUUAAAUGGGUGAAAAAAAUCAGAGUAGUUCCUUGAUUAUGUCAGACUUUCUUAUUAAACUGAAACAGAUGGACUGGGUAAAAAUGCCAGUAACUAAUCAAAGCAUUAAGCUAAGAGCCCAUGUAUAUAUCUAAACUCCUAGCAAUAAUCUGAGUUGAGCUUUCUUGUAUUUCCUUUCCCUAUGAAAGACAGUCAUCAGGUAAAAUUAUAACAAGGCCUUUUUCAUCUCUUUCUCUUGCCUACCAUGCACAGCCCCACUAAGUGUUUGAUUACCACUUAGGGUCUUAUAUAUGCACUAUUCCUUCUGCUUAAAAAUACUUUCUCCCCAGUCAUCAUAUGGGUAGCUCUUUGUCAUCCUUCCUAUGUAGGCUUAAGUUUUUCAGAGAGGUUUACUCUAUGUAUUUUAAGUGUUCAGUUUAUCUUUUUUCCUUAUUUAUUGCCUGUCUCUACAACUAGAUUUGAAGUUCCACUGGCCAGAAAUCUUGUCUCUUGUUCACAGCUGUGGUUUCAUCACCCAGGAAAGUCUUGCACAUGGUAGGCGCAUUAUAGGUGAUUAAGAAGUGCUUAAUAUAUAUUUGUUGAAUGAAUGAAUGACUAGCAUGCCUUUGUGUUUGUACAGUAAAUAGGAAUAGCAGCAAAUAGUUAGUAGUCGUUUAUUAUUUCACUGAUACCAACUGGAAUUCUACCAAUUUAGGGAUUUGCUUGACUUAAUGAACAUUAGACUGUUAUUACAACUUUAUACUCCAUUCAUUUUCAAGUACACUGAAAACACUUGCCCAGCCAGGUGCAGUGGUGCACACUUGUAAUCCCAGUGACUCCAGAGGCUGAGGCAGGAGGAACACUAGUUGGAGGCCAAGUUUGAGGCCAGCCAUAGCGACUUAGGAAGACUGUCUCCCCUGCUUCAAAAUUAAAGACCCUGCUUCAAAAUUUAAAAAAUUUUAAAAAAGGACUGGGAGUAUAAUUCAGUGGUAGAAUGCCCUUGGGUUUAAUCCCCACCAAAAAAAAAAAAAAAAAAAGGAGAUGUAGUCCAGGGGCAAGCUUUGCCUUCUACAUUUUAUCCCUAGUACUACCAAAAAUAAACACUUGCCUAUAACUUAAAGAAAUGUUGUGUUUUUUAAUUAAAUUCCCAUUGAAUUGAAAUUAAAAACUCUAAAAUAAAGAAUAGGAAAAAGCUGUUUGGAGUCAGUUGUCUCCGUUUUGUAUAUAUACAUACAUACAUACACACACACACACAUAUAUCUGAUUCAAAAAUGAUCCAUUCAUAAACAUUUGCUGGAAGCUCACUGACCUCUCUCCACUUGUUCCUAUUGAAUUUACUGCUGUUGCUGUUUCAGAGGGAUGGGAAGGGAAGGAUGGAGAGAGCAAUUAAAUUGUUAAACUUCAGCUUAUAAGUAGAAGAAGUUAAAAUAGGAUAUAACAGUAAAGAGACUUAAAGGAUUUAGAGUUUAGAUUUGUGACUCAUUCUAUCACCUAUUGGUUUGUGACUUGGUUCAAAUCCCAAACCUAUUUUUUCAUCUGUAUAAUGUACCUGGCUCAGAAUGUUGCAUCUGAGUUUCAGGUGAGAUAAUGUGUCAAAGAAUUUGUAAGAUGUGAAAUGCUAAAUAAAUG